RNAcentral lists this ribosomal RNA (301 nucleotides) under uncultured bacterium. Its description in RNAcentral is "partial 16S ribosomal RNA". It matches the Rfam family "Bacterial small subunit ribosomal RNA", at positions 509 to 807 of the family's 1533-position model. The record is from RNAcentral.
CAGUAGCCGCGGGAACACGGAGGGGGCUAGCGUUGUUCGGAAUUACUGGGCGUAAAGCGCACGUAGGCGGCUUGGUAAGUUAGAGGUGAAAGCCCGGAGCUCAACUCCGGAAUUGCCUUUAAGACUGCCGAGCUAGUAGGUGAGAGAGGUAAGUGGAAUUCCGAGUGUAGAGGUGAAAUUCGUAGAUAUUCGGAAGAACACCAGUGGCGAAGGCGGCUUACUGGCUCAUUCUAGACGCUGAGGUGCGAAAGCGUGGGGAGCAAACAGGAUUAGAUACCCCCGUAGUCCCUGUCUCUUAUAC